Molecule: ribosomal RNA, 110 nt
Filed under: Nitrososphaerota archaeon
Lineage: Archaea; Thermoproteati; Nitrososphaerota
Source: RNAcentral
UCUGGUGGUCAUAGUGCUGGUGUCCCACCCGUUCCCAUCCCGAACACGGUCGUGAAACCCACGCACGCCGACGAUACUCGCGGGGUAACCUGCCGGGAAAAUAGGUCGCC